RNAcentral lists this ribosomal RNA (484 nucleotides) under uncultured bacterium. RNAcentral's name for it is "partial 16S ribosomal RNA". It matches the Rfam family "Bacterial small subunit ribosomal RNA", at positions 30 to 507 of the family's 1533-position model. The record is from RNAcentral.
AUUGAACGCUGGCGGCAGGCCUAACACAUGCAAGUCGAGCGGAUGAAGGGAGCUUGCUCCUGGAUUCAGCGGCGGACGGGUGAGUAAUGCCUAGGAAUCUGCCUGGUAGUGGGUGAUAACGUCCGGAAACGGGCGCUAAUACCGCAUACGUCCUGAUGGAGAAAGUGGGGGAGCUUCGGACCUCACGCUAUCAGAUGAGCCUAGGUCGGAUUAGCUAGUUGGUGGGGUAAAGGCCUACCAAGGCGACGAUCCGUAACUGGUCUGAGAGGAUGAUCAGUCACACUGGAACUGAGACACGGUCCAGACUCCUACGGGAGGCAGCAGUGGGGAAUAUUGGACAAUGGGCGAAAGCCUGAUCCAGCCAUGCCGCGUGUGUGAAGAAGGUCUUCGGAUUGUAAAGCACUUUAAGUUGGGAGGAAGGGCAGUAAGUUAAUACCUUGCUGUUUUGACGUUACCAACAGAAUAAGCACCGGCUAACUUCGUG